AGAGUUUGAUCAUGGCUCAGGAUGAACGCUGGCGGCGUGCCUAACACAUGCAAGUCGAGCGAUUCUCCUCGGAGAAGAGCGGCGGACGGGUGAGUAACGCGUGGGUAACCUGCCCUGUACACACGGAUAACAUACCGAAAGGUAUGCUAAUACGAGAUAAUAUGCUUUUAUCGCAUGGUAGAAGUAUCAAAGCUCCGGCGGUACAGGAUGGACCCGCGUCUGAUUAGCUAGUUGGUAAGGUAACGGCUUACCAAGGCGACGAUCAGUAGCCGACCUGAGAGGGUGAUCGGCCACAUUGGAACUGAGACACGGUCCAAACUCCUACGGGAGGCAGCAGUGGGGAAUAUUGCACAAUGGGCGAAAGCCUGAUGCAGCAACGCCGCGUGAGCGAUGAAGGCCUUCGGGUCGUAAAGCUCUGUCCUCAAGGAAGAUAAUGACGGUACUUGAGGAGGAAGCCCCGGCUAACUACGUGCCAGCAGCCGCGGUAAUACGUAGGGGGCUAGCGUUAUCCGGAAUUACUGGGCGUAAAGGGUGCGUAGGUGGUUUCUUAAGUCAGAGGUGAAAGGCUACGGCUCAACCGUAGUAAGCCUUUGAAACUGGGAAACUUGAGUGCAGGAGAGGAGAGUGGAAUUCCUAGUGUAGCGGUGAAAUGCGUAGAUAUUAGGAGGAACACCAGUUGCGAAGGCGGCUCUCUGGACUGUAACUGACACUGAGGCACGAAAGCGUGGGGAGCAAACAGGAUUAGAUACCCUGGUAGUCCACGCCGUAAACGAUGAGUACUAGCUGUCGGAGGUUACCCCCUUCGGUGGCGCAGCUAACGCAUUAAGUACUCCGCCUGGGAAGUACGCUCGCAAGAGUGAAACUCAAAGGAAUUGACGGGGACCCGCACAAGUAGCGGAGCAUGUGGUUUAAUUCGAUGAUACGCGAGGAACCUUACCCGGGCUUGAAUUGCAGAGGAAGGAUUUGGAGACAAUGACGCCCUUCGGGGCCUCUGUGAAGGUGCUGCAUGGUUGUCGUCAGCUCGUGCCGUGAGGUGUCGGCUUAAGUGCCAUAACGAGCGCAACCCCUCUCCUUAGUUGCCAUCAGGUUAAGCUGGGCACUCUGGGGACACUGCCACCGUAAGGUGUGAGGAAGGUGGGGAUGACGUCAAAUCAGCACGGCCCUUACGUCCGGGGCUACACACGUGUUACAAUGGCAGGUACAGAGAGACGGUCCCUUGCAAAACGGAUCAAAUCCUUAAAGCCUGUCUCAGUUCGGACUGGGGUCUGCAACCCGACCCCACGAAGCUGGAUUCGCUAGUAAUCGCGCAUCAGCCAUGGCGCGGUGAAUACGUUCCCGGGCCUUGUACACACCGCCCGUCAAGCCAUGAAAGCCGGGGGCGCCUAAAGUCCGUGACCGUAAGGAGCGGCCUAGGGCGAAACUGGUAAUUGGGGCUAAGUCGUAACAAGGUA
RNAcentral lists this ribosomal RNA (1451 nucleotides) under metagenome. Its description in RNAcentral is "bacterial SSU rRNA". It matches the Rfam family "Bacterial small subunit ribosomal RNA". The record is from RNAcentral.